RNAcentral lists this transfer RNA (68 nucleotides) under Bicellonychia lividipennis. Its description in RNAcentral is "tRNA-Arg". Lineage: Eukaryota; Metazoa; Arthropoda; Insecta; Coleoptera; Lampyridae. The record is from RNAcentral.
AAAUAAGAAGCAAAAUAUUGCAGUUAACUUCGACCUAAUCCAUUGAUGAUAAAAUUCAUCCUUAUUUU